GGGACGGGUGAGUAACACGUGGAUAACCUACCUAUAAGACUGGGAUAACUUCGGGAAACCGGAGCUAAUACCGGAUAAUAUUUUGAACCGCAUGGUUCAAAAGUGAAAGACGGUCUUGCUGUCACUUAUAGAUGGAUCCGCGCUGCAUUAGCUAGUUGGUAAGGUAACGGCUUACCAAGGCAACGAUGCAUAGCCGACCUGAGAGGGUGAUCGGCCACACUGGAACUGAGACACGGUCAAG
This 241-nucleotide ribosomal RNA is filed under the name uncultured Staphylococcus sp. RNAcentral describes it as "partial 16S ribosomal RNA". It matches the Rfam family "Bacterial small subunit ribosomal RNA", at positions 100 to 334 of the family's 1533-position model. The record is from RNAcentral. Lineage: Bacteria; Bacillati; Bacillota; Bacilli; Caryophanales; Staphylococcaceae.